RNAcentral lists this ribosomal RNA (468 nucleotides) under uncultured bacterium. RNAcentral's name for it is "bacterial SSU rRNA". It matches the Rfam family "Bacterial small subunit ribosomal RNA", at positions 335 to 802 of the family's 1533-position model. The record is from RNAcentral.
ACUCCUACGGGAGGCAGCAGUGGGGAAUAUUGCACAAUGGGGAAACCCUGAUGCAGCCAUGCCGCGUGUGUGAAGAAGGCCUCGGUUGUAAGCACUUCAGUAGGGAGGAAGGUAGUGUAGUUAACACCUGCAUUAUUUGACGUUACCUACAGAAGAAGCACCGGCUAACUCCGUGCCAGCAGCCGCGGUAAUACGGAGGGUGCGAGCGUUAAUCGGAAUUACUGGGCGUAAAGCGCAUGCAGGCGGCCUGUUAAGUCAGAUGUGAAAGCCCGGGGGCUUAACCUCGGAAUUGCAUUUGAAACUGGCAGGCUAGAGUCUUGUAGAGGGGGUAGAAUUUCAGGUGUAGCGGUGAAAUGCGUAGAGAUCUGAAGGAAUACCAGUGGCGAAGGCGGCCCCCUGGACAAAGACUGACGCUCAGAUGCGAAAGCGUGGGGAGCAAACAGGAUUAGAUACCCUGGUAGACUGUCA